AAUCAAAAUCUGAGCUUAAAAAACUGCGGCGGCGGCUCACCUCCUGAAGGUCUAGCUCCGCCGCUGGCGCCGGGGAUGCGUCAUCUCGCCGUGCGCCUCGCCCGCGGCGCGGUCCCGCUCGUCCGCACGGCUUCGACGGCGGCGGCGCUCAAGGUGGGCGACGCGCUGCGGUCGCAUGGGCCGCGGCGGCGGUUCACGGAGGCGGACGUGGCGGCGUACGCGGCGGUGAGCGGCGACCGCAACCCGGUCCACCUCGACGACGCCUUCGCCCGCGGGGAAGCCGGGUUCCUGCGCGGCCGCGUCGUGCACGGCAUGCUCGUCGCCUCCCUCUUCCCGGCCCUCAUCGCCUCUCACUUCCCUGGAGCCGUGUACGCGAGGCAGUCCCUCAGGUUCGCGGCGCCGGUGCACGUCGGCGACGAGGUGGUCGCGGAGGUGCAGGCGCUCCAAAUCAAGGCCACCGGCGCAAGGCACAUCGUCAAGUUCGCUACCAAGUGCUUCACGGAUGCUGGUGAUGGAGAAACUCUCGCGAUCGACGGCGAAGCCAUGGCUUUUCUGCCCACGCUGCAGGUCAGCCCGGAGGAUGAUUAGCUAAUGCACCAAGGCGCUCCUCAGGGUCAUCCAACUUCUCCUUGAUGGCUGGUACAAAUGUUGACAGAUGAACAUAAGCUGCACCACCUCCAGCUCCAACCUUUAUCACAGCAACUCCACCAGAAAGCUUUGCAAUUCUCUCUGCCAACUUCUCAGAAUCAUACACAGAGUCUGUCUGAGAAAGCUCUCUCUUCAGCUGUGCAAUUCUUGCCUGAAUCUCAUCUUUGGUGGCAACAUCUGCUAUAAUGGUUGUGGAUGACUGGGAGAUUGUCACUUUCCGGGCUAUGCCGAGCUGCUCCACUGUUGUCUUCUCAACCAGUAAGCCGAGAUCUUUGGCCUGAAACUCAGCACCUGAAACAACAGACAUGGAAAGAUGAAUAUGAUCAGCGUAUUAGGAGACAUCAUAAAGUAAAACAAGUGGAUUUUUUAAAGUUUUGAUUUCUGAAAGUUGAAAGGACACGUAAUUUGCUUUUGGUUCUACCGCUUACCACAAGUUCAAUCGAUACAAAAAAAACAGUGAUAUUUUCCUAUUGCUUGCUAGAGAAACAUAUUAGUCAUUGUAUACAGCUGUAGCAAGAUGAUAACAGUAA
Molecule: RNA transcript, 1178 nt
Organism: Brachypodium distachyon (stiff brome)
Lineage: Eukaryota; Viridiplantae; Streptophyta; Magnoliopsida; Poales; Poaceae
Gene name: (R)-specific enoyl-CoA hydratase
Exons: 5
Source: RefSeq, a predicted model, not a curated record